This 241-nucleotide non-coding RNA is filed under the name Lentilactobacillus farraginis. RNAcentral's name for it is "Lactobacillus farraginis T-box sequence". It matches the Rfam family "T-box leader". From Rfam's summary of the family: Uncharged tRNA acts as the effector for transcription antitermination of genes in the T-box leader family. T-boxes are found upstream of many aminoacyl-tRNA synthetase genes and some amino acid biosynthetic genes usually in Gram-positive bacteria. Lineage: Bacteria; Bacillati; Bacillota; Bacilli; Lactobacillales; Lactobacillaceae. The record is from RNAcentral.
AAAAAAGCCAUGAAGAGAAACAUUGUUGCGUAUCUGUAAUCAGAGAGUUGCUGGUUGGUGAGAAGCAAGUUACGGAUUCAAACAAUUAUCGUCUCUGAGCUGUGCAGCCAAACGUUAUAGUAGGCUACAUUGGGAACACCCAUUAUUGUGUCAGCGUAUCGUAUUUGUUACUGUACGUGUGAGGUAGUCUUAGCGAUAAGGCUAUAAAGAUAAGGUGGUACCACGCUAAAGCGUCCUUUAA